UGGGGAAUAUUGGACAAUGGGCGAAAGCCUGAUCCAGCCAUGCCGCGUGUGUGAAGAAGGUCUUCGGAUUGUAAAGCACUUUAAGUUGGGAGGAAGGGCAGUUACCUAAUACGUGAUUGUUUUGACGUUACCGACAGAAUAAGCACCGGCUAACUCUGUGCCAGCAGCCGCGGUAAUACAGAGGGUGCAAGCGUUAAUCGGAAUUACUGGGCGUAAAGCGCGCGUAGGUGGUUAGUUAAGUUGGAUGUGAAAUCCCCGGGCUCAACCUGGGAACUGCAUUCAAACUGACUGACUAGAGUAUGGUAGAGGGUGGUGGAAUUUCCAUGUGUAGCGGUGAAAUGCGUAGAUAUAGGAAGGAACACCAGUGGCGAAGGCGACCACCUGGACUGAUACUGACACUGAGUGCGAAAGCGUGGGGAGCAAACAGGAUUAGAUACCCUGGUAGUCCACGCCGUAAACGAUGUCAACUAGCCGUUGGGAG
RNAcentral lists this ribosomal RNA (481 nucleotides) under uncultured bacterium. RNAcentral describes it as "partial 16S ribosomal RNA". It matches the Rfam family "Bacterial small subunit ribosomal RNA", at positions 355 to 829 of the family's 1533-position model. The record is from RNAcentral.